RNAcentral lists this long non-coding RNA (4504 nucleotides) under Olea europaea subsp. europaea. The record is from RNAcentral. Lineage: Eukaryota; Viridiplantae; Streptophyta; Magnoliopsida; Lamiales; Oleaceae.
CCACUACUUCCUUUGAUAUUUGGGACAAACUUAAGGAUAAGUAUGAGACCAAAACUACUCCAAACAAAUGUUUUAUUUUAAAACAAUUCUUCUUUUUUAAAAUGAAUCUUGCAGUCGAUUUAGAAGAAAAUCUUAGUAGGUUUACAAAACUUACCCAAGACUUGGCCAAUUCUGAUGAAAAACUUUCAAAAGAUAAAUUGGUUGUAGUCCUGUUAAACUCCAUAAAUGACAAGUAUAAGGACAUUAAAAUUGUUGUUGAAUAUGGUAGAGAUGAACUCACUCUUGAUGUUAUAACCAAUGCUUUGAGAAAUAAAGUUUUAGAAAUCAAGGCCGAGCCAAGUAACAGUCACACUGGAACUAGUUUUGUAACUAAGGGAAAAUCUUUUGAAAAAUCUACACAAAACUUUAAGGUUUCAAAAGUAAAUAAGAGAUGGGCUGACAGGAGUAAGACCAAGAAUAAUGCAAAAGGUAAAAUAUGUUAUUAUUGUGGCAAACUUGGUCAUUUUGCAAAAGAUUGUUUUAAAAAGAAAAAUGAUUCAAAAGAAAAAGGUUUUGAUGGAAGCAAUGUAUUGGCCUAUGAUAAAAACAAAACAGAAAAUGAUUUUGUUUUAGUAAGUGCUGAAAAAUGUCUAAGUGAUGAGUGAAUAUUUGACUCAGGAUGCUCCUUUCAUAUAUGCCCCAACAAAAAUUAUUUUAUAAAUCUAGAAAAAACUAAAGGGGGCAGGUUAUAAUGGGCAAUAACUUUGCCUGUAAAGUGGGUGGAAUUGGAAUUGUCAAAUUAUUAUUAGAAAAUGGAAAUGUUUUGUUCUUUGAGAACACAAGACAUGUCCCAGAUUUGAAAAAGAACUUAGUAUCCUUAGGAAUGUUAGAUGACAAGGAGUUUAACAUAGUUAUGGAUCAAGGACAUAUAAAAAUUCUUAGGGGAAAUGACUUGGUCACUUCAGCCCCUAAGAGACAUGGUCUUUAUUGCCCUGCAAAACCUUUGCUUGGAUUAACUGCUUCUAUCAUAUCUGAAAAAUUCACUUUGGCUAAAUUGUGGCAUGAAAGGCUUGGUCAUAUUGGUAAAAAGGGUUUGAAUAUUAUGCAAUCAAAAUGUGUUUUUGGAAAACAUAAUCUUGAUGAUUUUGGCUCAUGUGAACACUGUAUUUUGGAAAAGCAAGCUAAACUUUCUUUUCAAAGUGGAAUUCAUAAAUCCAAACAAAAACUUGAGUGUUUGCAUCCUGAUUUGUGGGGUCCUGCUUCUAUCUCUACUUUAACUGGUUUUAAAUAUUUUUUGCUAAUGGUUGAUGAUUUCUCAAGGAAAAUUUAGGUUCAUCUACUAAAGCCUAAAGAUGAGACAUUUUCUAUUUUUAAGGACUGGAAAACUCAAGUUGAAAAUCAGGUUGAUCUUAAAAUAAAAUAUUUAAGAACUGACAAUGGUUUGAAAUUUUGCAAUUAUGAAUUUGAUAAUCUUUGUAAGGAAUAUGACAUCAUGAGACACAAAACUGUUCCACACAACACAAAACUGUUCCAUACACACCACAACAAAAUGGAAUGAUUGAAAUAAUGAAUGGAGCUGUGUUGAAUAAAGUUAGAUGCAUGCUAUUAAGUUCUGGACUGCCUAAGAUGUUUUAGGGUGAAGCAAUGAAACUGCAGCUUAUCUGAUUAAUAGGAGUCCUGCUAGUGCUUUAAACUUUGUUGUUCCUGAAUAUGUGUGGUCAAAUAGUCGAGUAAAUUACUCUUAUCUGAAAGUAUUUGGCUGUGCUGCUUAUGCUCAUCAAAAUGUUGGUAAAUUAGAACUAAGAUCAUUAAAAUGUGUCUUCUUGGGUUAUGAUGAACAUGUUAAAGGGUACAGAUUAUGAGUUAAAUCUGAGAAAGGCUAUAGAGUAAUAAUUAGAAAGGAUGUAGUCUUCAAUGAAUCCUGAAUGCCAUGUCUUGAAGGAAAAGAAAAUGCUUUAACUGAAAAAGAUGUUCAAAUUGAGGUGGAGCCUUCCUGCAGUAACCAGAAUAUUUCUGUGACUAUUACAGAAGAAAAUGAAAAUGAAGAACAUGUUAUUUUACCUGAAACUGAAAUUGAAACUGAACAUGUUGAAGAGACUGAUUCUGCAGCUCUUCCCUUUGAUGAGUAUCAACUCACAAGAGAUAGAGAGAGGAGACCCUCCACCAGAUUUGAUAGUAACACCUUUGUAUCUUUCUUUACCUACCAAGACCUCAAUGAAAAUGAGCCAAACUCCUUUGAAGAAGCCAUGAAAUGUAAAGAAAGAAAAAAUUGGAAGAUGGCAAUGGAAGAUGAAAUGUCUUCACUUCUUAAAAAUAAAACAUGAAUAUUAGUUGAUAAGCCAAAAGGACAAAAAUUAAUUGAUUGCAAGUGGAUUUAUAAGAUAAAAUCUGGGGAAGGUGACAAUAAGAAUGUUAGAUAUAAAGCUAGACUUGUAGCAAAGGGUUUCACACAAAAAGAAGGUGUAGAUUAUACUGAAAUUUUUUCUCCUAUUGCCAAGUAUGUUACCAUCAGAUGUUUGCUUGCACUUGUUACACAAUUUAAAUGAGAGCUUGAUCAGCUAGAUGUUAAAACUGUUUUUUUGUAUGGGGAAUUAGAUGAAAUAAUAUACAUGAAAUAACCUGUUGGAUUUGAGAAGGGUGAUCCUGAAAACACUGUUUGUUUGUUAAAGAAAUCCUUGUAUGGCCUAAAGCAGGCACCUAGGCAGUGGUACAAAAGAUUUGACACUUUUGUCUUAAAACUUGGAUUUAAAAGAAGCCAAUAUGAUACUUGCUUGUACUGUAAAGGUAGUGGAGUUUAAAACUCAUUAUAUCUAGUCCUUUAUGUAAAUGAUAUGUUGUUGGCUAGUUCUGAUAAAUCAAAAAUUGAUUAUAUUAAAUCAAAGUUAAGUUCUGAGUUUGAUAUAAAAGACCUCGGUGCUGCUAAAAGAAUAUUGGGCAUUCAGAUCUGGAGAAACAAGGAUAAAUAUAUGUUGUUUCUAAAUCAAUGUGAUUAUGUGUCUAAAAUCUUGAAAAAAUUCAACAUUUAUGAUUGUAAGCUUGUAACACUGCCUCUUGCUAGUCAUUUUAUGUUGUCUUCUGAACUUUGCCCUAAAUCUGAAGAUGAAUAUGCCAGAUUGUCAAAAAUUCCAUAUGUUAUGUAAUUGGUUCUGUGAUGUAUUUGAUGAUAUGCACCAGACCUGAUCUUGUAUAUAAUAUUAGCAUUUUAAGUAGAUUUAUGAGUAAUCCCGGUGAAGGACACUGGCAUGCUUUGAAAUGGUUAUUGAGGUAUCUUAAGGGAUCAUCAAAUUUAGGCUUAAUGUUUAAAUUAGAUAAAAAUGGAAUAAAUUUGAAAGGGUAUACUGAUUCCGAUUUUGCUGGCAAUAGAGAUAAUAGAAAAUCAACAUCAUCUUAUUUUUAUACACUAUGUGGUACUGCCAUCAGUUGGAAAUCUCAACUUCAGAAAGUUGUGACUCUGUCAUCAAUUGAGGCAGAGUAUAUAGCUGUAACUGAUGCUGUUAAAGAAGGGAUUUGGUUGAAUGAUUUAUUGUUUGAAAUGAGUUUUGAUGAUAAUCACAUUAUGCUGUUUUCUGAUAACCAAAGUGCUAUUCACCUAAGUAAAAAUCCUAUGUUUCAUGAUAGAUCGAAACAUAUUGAUGUCAAAUAUCAUUUUAUAAGAGAUAUAAUUUCAAAAGGUGAAAUUAAGAUUGAAAAGGUUCCUACUCAAUUUAAUCCAUCUGAUAUGGGUACAAAAGUAAUUCCUUUAAACAAAUUUUUAAACUAUUUGAAACUUUUAUCUGUUGAUUCUUUGUGAUUCAUGUACAGGUACUUGAAGCAAAUGAAAAAGACAUAAGAUCAUGCUCCUGACUGCACUAAUAGUUCAAAUUCUGGCAGCAAUGUGGAGAUUGUUGGAAUCGAACCCUGUUCUCUUCAAUUGGUGCUUUCAGAAUUUGACUUGUGACAAAAAUGUGUUUAUAUGAAACACGACUUAAUAAGUGGUGACAACUUAUUGGAUGGCCAACACGUGGACUAACUCUGGACAUUGGAUGGAGCCGGUUCAUCUGUCCUUCGUUAAAAAUUCGGAGCCUUCUGGAACGUCUGACUUUCACUUUCAUUUUUACUGUCUCUAGGGUUUUCAGAGAGAAAAAUUGGCCGUCUGAGAGAUGAUUAUUUCCUUGAGUGGUUCAUGCUUAAAAUCUCUGAUUUUAUGUAUAGUAAAGUGACAUCUUCCUUCGAUCUGUAAUAUUCUGUAUGAAUAGUGAAGAAAUUUGAGUGAUUUCUAUGUUGUAACCUUGUGGUGGUGUUCAAAGGGUUUGGGGGCUGAGAUCUGAGUGAAUCUCUGUAGAUCCAUCACUGUACUUGAGAUAUAAGUUUCAUUUUCAUCUCUCUGAACAAUCUGUAACUUUUGUUGCCAUUUUGGGCUGUUUAGUGCAACCGAGCAUAAUCCAAAUCUUUGGAUGCUCAACGGGGGAUGUAGGCGUUAGAAGUGAUCGUCGAACCUCCGGGGUUUAGGCCUAAAUAAUUCCUUUGUGUUCAUUUUAAUUUCUUG